GUCAGACUCAGUAUUGACAAGGUCAGGGGAAGGAGAGAGAAAUGUGAGCCAGUCUGAUCAGAGAGGACUUUCAAGAGAAAAUGGAACUUGAGUAGGAUCUUGAAGGAUUUAAUACAGAUGAGGAAAAAGGCAGAACUUCUGGGUAACAAAACAGACUUGAAAAAAGAGACCGGAAUGAGGUAGCAAGAUCUUGGGACAAUAGGACAUUGACACUUUAAUCCCUUUCAGUUUCCUAAUGGUAAGUUGGGGGUGCAAAAGAGUGUUCUAGUAGUGGAACAUUUACCUUUUUGACCAUCCAUCCAUCCAUCUAUCCAUCUACCCACCACCUGUCCACCUACCCAUCCACCUAUCCAUCCAUUCACCCAUCACCCACCUACCCAUCCAUUCAUCCAUCCAUCCAACCCACCCUACCAACCUCAGUUUAAAUGCUAAGUCUGCAAAGGUAAAUAAGAUGGCCUCCAUCACCAGUAGUUCUCUUCACAAUCCCCUUCAGCUCUUCUAUUCGACUCUGUGCUAUUACAUAUCCUAAGUGCAGGUAGCACUAUCUGUUUAUAGUUGAGCCAAUUAGCUGUACAGGUUUUAUUUAGUCAUUCUGUAAAGCCAAUGAAGGAGGAGGAAAGAAACAGAUUCACUGGAUACCAUCUACCUAUCAGUCAUUUUACUAGGGAUUUGUUGUUCAGUUUUCUUGCUGAAUCUGGUAAAGAAGGCAUUAUUGGGGCUGGGGUUGUGGCUCAGUGGUAGAGCACUCAGCACGUGCAGGGCGCUGGGAUCCUCAGCUUCACAUAAAAAUAAAAUAAAGGUAUUGUG
RNAcentral lists this long non-coding RNA (807 nucleotides) under Marmota monax (woodchuck). The record is from RNAcentral. Lineage: Eukaryota; Metazoa; Chordata; Mammalia; Rodentia; Sciuridae.